UAAAAUACCCAUUUCAAAUUUGUCUGGCAAAUGAGAGAAUCAGUAGUUUGCCAGUAUUUUUCAUUACUUUUCUUAGAAUUGUUUUUCCUUUACACAUUUAUAGUGCAAAAUAGCUCAGUGGUGCAGACUCAUACUAAGCUGAUCAACUUGCAUUUUGGUCUUCAUGGGAUUUACACAUUUUUUCACUCAACAUUUAUUAAAGGAACAAACAACAUUUUGGGCUAUACCAAACAUACCUUUAGCUUGACUAAGGGCUGAAUUUCAUAAAGGAACAAAAUAUAGAAUUCAUUUUCACAUACUUUAAAGUGUGACUCAUCCCUGUUGAACUUGUGAGACUCAAAGCUACGCCCAUGUCACUUAAUUUUAUGUCCUUCCCUGUUUACUGUGUCUGACCUUCAAGAUUUCGUGACUGAUGCUGAAAUGGAAGCCAGCCAUGCAGAAAUGUGGGGGAAAAUGAAUCUGAAGAAUGCACGGGGAAGUAGGAAUUCAUUUCUAGCGUUCCCAAACCUGCUUUGUCACGUCAGCUUCACUGCAGUCAGAGGAAAAGAACUGAGUUCAUGGAGAUUACCAACUAAACCUUACGUCUGUCCUUAAUGUUUUUAGGAAAUGUGCUGAAAAGGUAAGUGAGAUACCUGAUUUGAAGGAAGACUGUAUUAGGUAUUUUUAGAUGUGUUAGUAAAAAUGGAUGGCUUCUUUAUUCGGAGCUUCAGGAACCUUGCCCCCGUUUGGUGCGGUUCUCAGUGGUUGUGGAGAAGGUGGAGUUGUUCCAGCCAGCGUGAAGCUUUCCUCUACUUCCUGGCAGUCACGCUGGAACUGGCACUGAAGUGUACAGAAUGCCGGUUUUUGUUGCUUUGUCCUCAACUCCUCUCAAAAUAUUUUCAGUCGAGUUUUAAUUUUACCCCUUAAACUAUAUAGAAAAAUCUUUAAAAUGCUUCUAAGUUCCUACCAGAACUAUAUUUGCAUUGUAUAUAGUCAAACAAGAAUAAAAUAAUGGGUUUUAUAGGUCUCUGUUAACCUCACCUACAUUGAUUUUAUAGAUAAUUUUAAAAUUACUGAGGUUACAUUGUUCCACGUUUAUUAAAUCUCUGUGUAAAUUAGCCUUAUGCCAGACCCGGAGUAAAACGAUGGAAUAGCACACAGUUCAAGUACUCAGUAAAUUCAUCUUUAUUGAUAAAAUAGUUAGAAUUUUAGUUUUGGGAAUCCGAAUCUAAUAAAAUGAGACUUAAUUCCAUUUCCCAAUCAAAAAUCAUCUGUAGCUUGCAAUUUAAAUAUGACAAAUUGUAUUUGAAAGAUCCAGCGUUUAUGUUUGAGAGAG
Molecule: long non-coding RNA, 1315 nt
Filed under: Bos taurus (domestic cattle)
Lineage: Eukaryota; Metazoa; Chordata; Mammalia; Artiodactyla; Bovidae
Description: long non-coding RNA NONBTAT011997
Source: RNAcentral